RNAcentral lists this ribosomal RNA (475 nucleotides) under uncultured bacterium. RNAcentral's name for it is "bacterial SSU rRNA". It matches the Rfam family "Bacterial small subunit ribosomal RNA", at positions 329 to 793 of the family's 1533-position model. The record is from RNAcentral.
UACUCGACUCCUACGGGAGGCAGCAGUGAGGAAUAUUUGGUCAAUGGAGGGAACUCUGAACCAGCCAUCCCGCGUGUAGGAAGACGGCCUUAUGGUUGUAAACUACUUUUAUACAGGAAGAAAACGGUACCCCUCGUGAGGGGUGCCCUGACGGUACUGCUAGGAAUAAGCACCGGCUAACUCCGUGCCCAGCAGCCGCGGUAAUACGGAGGGUGCGAGCGUUAUCCGGAUUUAUUAGGGUUUAAAGGGUCCGUAGGCGGAUUAAUAAGUCAGUGGUGAAAUCCCAUCGCUUAACGAUGGAACUGCCAUUGAUACUGUUAGUCUUGAAUGAGGGUGCAGUGGUUGGAAUGUGUAGUGUAGCGGUGAAAUGCAUAGAUAUUACACAGAACACCGAUUGCGAAGGCAGAUCACUAACCCUAAAUUGACGCUGAGGGACGAAAGCGUGGGGAGCGAACAGGAUUAGAUACCCUGGUAG